This 587-nucleotide ribosomal RNA is filed under the name uncultured bacterium. RNAcentral's name for it is "bacterial SSU rRNA". It matches the Rfam family "Bacterial small subunit ribosomal RNA", at positions 338 to 916 of the family's 1533-position model. The record is from RNAcentral.
CCUACGGGAGGCAGCAGCUAAGAAUCUUCCGCAAUGGGGGAAACCCUGACGGAGCGACGCCGCGUGGACGAAGAAGGCCGCAAGGUUGUAAAGUCCUUUUGCAGGCGAAGAAUAAGGUGAAGAGUGGAAUGCUUUGCCGAUGACGUUAGCCUGCGAAUAAGCCCCGGCCAAUUACGUGCCAGCAGCCGCGGUAACACGUAUGGGGCGAGCGUUGUUCGGAAUUACUGGGCAUAAAGGGCGUGUAGGCGGUUCGGUAAGCCUGGCGUGAAAGGUAUCGGCUCAACCGGUAGAUGGCGCUGGGAACUGGCGGACUGGAGUUUUGGAGGGGGAGCUGGAAUUCCUGGUGUAGGGGUGAAAUCUGUAGAGAUCAGGAAGAACACCGGUGGCGAAGGCGAGCUCCUGGCCAAUGACUGACGCUGAGGCGCGAAAGCGUGGGGAGCAAACAGGAUUAGAUACCCUGGUAGUCCACGCCCUAAACGAUGACAACUAGAUGUCGGGAGGGUUUGCCUUCCGGUGUCGUAGCUAACGCGUUAAGUUGUCCGCCUGGGAAGUACGGCCGCAAGGUUGAAACUUAAAGGAAUUGACGG